RNAcentral lists this ribosomal RNA (253 nucleotides) under uncultured bacterium. Its description in RNAcentral is "partial 16S ribosomal RNA". It matches the Rfam family "Bacterial small subunit ribosomal RNA", at positions 524 to 776 of the family's 1533-position model. The record is from RNAcentral.
GACGUAGGGCGCGAGCGUUGUCCGGAUUUAUUGGGCGUAAAGAGCUCGUAGGCGGCUUGUCGCGUCGUCCGUGAAAACUUGGGGCUCAACCCCAAGCUUGCGGUCGAUACGGGCAGGCUAGAGUUCGGUAGGGGAGACUGGAAUUCCUGGUGUAGCGGUGGAAUGCGCAGAUAUCAGGAGGAACACCAAUGGCGAAGGCAGGUCUCUGGACGACUCCUGACACUGAGGCACGAAAGCUAGGGGAGCAAACAGG